This 429-nucleotide ribosomal RNA is filed under the name uncultured archaeon. RNAcentral describes it as "bacterial SSU rRNA". It matches the Rfam family "Archaeal small subunit ribosomal RNA", at positions 474 to 903 of the family's 1478-position model. The record is from RNAcentral.
UACCAGCUCUCCGAGUGGUGGGGAUGCUUAUUGGGCCUAAAGCAUUCGUAGCCUGCUUGACAAGUCCUCCGUUAAAUCCAACGAUUCAAUCGUUGGGCUGCGGGGGAUACUGUCCGGCUAGGGGGCGGGAGAGGCCGACGGUAUCCUCGGGGUAGGGGUGAAAUCCUAUAAUCCCGGGAGGACCACCAGUGGCGAAGGCUGUCGGCUAGAACGCGCUCGACGGUGAGGGAUGAAAGCUGGGGGAGCGAACCGGAUUAGAUACCCGGGUAGUCCCAGCUGUAAACGAUGCAGGCUAGGUGUUUGGACGGCCACGUGCCGUUCUAGUGCCGCAGGGAAGCCGUUAAGCCUGCCGCCUGGGGAGUACGGCCGCAAGGCUGAAACUUAAAGGAAUUGGCGGGGGAGCACCACAAGGGGUGAAGCUUGCGGUUU